Molecule: ribosomal RNA, 2923 nt
Filed under: Klebsiella pneumoniae
Lineage: Bacteria; Pseudomonadati; Pseudomonadota; Gammaproteobacteria; Enterobacterales; Enterobacteriaceae
Description: bacterial LSU rRNA
Rfam family: Bacterial large subunit ribosomal RNA
Source: RNAcentral
GGGUUGUGAGGUUAAGCGACUAAGCGUACACGGUGGAUGCCCUGGCAGUCAGAGGCGAUGAAGGACGUGCUAAUCUGCGAAAAGCGUCGGUAAGGUGAUAUGAACCGUUAUAACCGGCGAUGUCCGAAUGGGGAAACCCAGUGUGAUUCGUCACACUAUCGUUAACUGAAUACAUAGGUUAACGAGGCGAACCGGGGGAACUGAAACAUCUAAGUACCCCGAGGAAAAGAAAUCAACCGAGAUUCCCCCAGUAGCGGCGAGCGAACGGGGAGCAGCCCAGAGUCUGAAUCAGCUUGUGUGUUAGUGGAACGGUCUGGAAAGUCCGACGGUACAGGGUGAUAGUCCCGUACACCAAAAUGCACAGGUUGUGAACUCGAAGAGUAGGGCGGGACACGUGGUAUCCUGUCUGAAUAUGGGGGGACCAUCCUCCAAGGCUAAAUACUCCUGACUGACCAAUAGUGAACCAGUACCGUGAGGGAAAGGCGAAAAGAACCCCGGCGAGGGGAGUGAAAAAGAACCUGAAACCGUGUACGUACAAGCAGUGGGAGCACCUUCGGGUGUGACUGCGUACCUUUUGUAUAAUGGGUCAGCGACUUAUAUUCUGUAGCAAGGUUAACCGUAUAGGGGAGCCGCAGGGAAACCGAGUCUUAACUGGGCGUUAAGUUGCAGGGUAUAGACCCGAAACCCGGUGAUCUAGCCAUGGGCAGGUUGAAGGUUGGGUAACACUAACUGGAGGACCGAACCGACUAAUGUUGAAAAAUUAGCGGAUGACUUGUGGCUGGGGGUGAAAGGCCAAUCAAACCGGGAGAUAGCUGGUUCUCCCCGAAAGCUAUUUAGGUAGCGCCUCGUGAAUUCAUCUUCGGGGGUAGAGCACUGUUUCGGCUAGGGGGUCAUCCCGACUUACCAACCCGAUGCAAACUACGAAUACCGAAGAAUGUUAUCACGGGAGACACACGGCGGGUGCUAACGUCCGUCGUGAAGAGGGAAACAACCCAGACCGCCAGCUAAGGUCCCAAAGUCAUGGUUAAGUGGGAAACGAUGUGGGAAGGCACAGACAGCCAGGAUGUUGGCUUAGAAGCAGCCAUCAUUUAAAGAAAGCGUAAUAGCUCACUGGUCGAGUCGGCCUGCGCGGAAGAUGUAACGGGGCUAAACCAUGCACCGAAGCUGCGGCAGCGACACUAUGUGUUGUUGGGUAGGGGAGCGUUCUGUAAGCCUGCGAAGGUGACCUGUGAGGGUUGCUGGAGGUAUCAGAAGUGCGAAUGCUGACAUAAGUAACGAUAAAGCGGGUGAAAAGCCCGCUCGCCGGAAGACCAAGGGUUCCUGUCCAACGUUAAUCGGGGCAGGGUGAGUCGACCCCUAAGGCGAGGCCGAAAGGCGUAGUCGAUGGGAAACAGGUUAAUAUUCCUGUACUUGGUGUUACUGCGAAGGGGGGACGGAGAAGGCUAUGUUAGCCGGGCGACGGUUGUCCCGGUUUAAGCAUGUAGGCUGGUUAUCCAGGCAAAUCCGGAUAAUCAAGGCUGAGGUGUGAUGACGAGGCACUACGGUGCUGAAGUAACAAAUGCCCUGCUUCCAGGAAAAGCCUCUAAGCAUCAGGUAACAUCAAAUCGUACCCCAAACCGACACAGGUGGUCAGGUAGAGAAUACCAAGGCGCUUGAGAGAACUCGGGUGAAGGAACUAGGCAAAAUGGUGCCGUAACUUCGGGAGAAGGCACGCUGGUGUGUAGGUGAAGUCCCUGCGGAUGGAGCUGAGACCAGUCGAAGAUACCAGCUGGCUGCAACUGUUUAUUAAAAACACAGCACUGUGCAAACACGAAAGUGGACGUAUACGGUGUGACGCCUGCCCGGUGCCGGAAGGUUAAUUGAUGGGGUUAUCCGUAAGGAGAAGCUCUUGAUCGAAGCCCCGGUAAACGGCGGCCGUAACUAUAACGGUCCUAAGGUAGCGAAAUUCCUUGUCGGGUAAGUUCCGACCUGCACGAAUGGCGUAAUGAUGGCCAGGCUGUCUCCACCCGAGACUCAGUGAAAUUGAACUCGCUGUGAAGAUGCAGUGUACCCGCGGCAAGACGGAAAGACCCCGUGAACCUUUACUAUAGCUUGACACUGAACAUUGAGCCUUGAUGUGUAGGAUAGGUGGGAGGCUUUGAAGCGUGGACGCCAGUCUGCGUGGAGCCAACCUUGAAAUACCACCCUUUAAUGUUUGAUGUUCUAACGUUGGCCCCUUAUCGGGGUUGCGGACAGUGUCUGGUGGGUAGUUUGACUGGGGCGGUCUCCUCCCAAAGCGUAACGGAGGAGCACGAAGGUUAGCUAAUCCUGGUCGGACAUCAGGAGGUUAGUGCAAUGGCAUAAGCUAGCUUGACUGCGAGCGUGACGGCGCGAGCAGGUGCGAAAGCAGGUCAUAGUGAUCCGGUGGUUCUGAAUGGAAGGGCCAUCGCUCAACGGAUAAAAGGUACUCCGGGGAUAACAGGCUGAUACCGCCCAAGAGUUCAUAUCGACGGCGGUGUUUGGCACCUCGAUGUCGGCUCAUCACAUCCUGGGGCUGAAGUAGGUCCCAAGGGUAUGGCUGUUCGCCAUUUAAAGUGGUACGCGAGCUGGGUUUAGAACGUCGUGAGACAGUUCGGUCCCUAUCUGCCGUGGGCGCUGGAGAAUUGAGGGGGGCUGCUCCUAGUACGAGAGGACCGGAGUGGACGCAUCACUGGUGUUCGGGUUGUCAUGCCAAUGGCACUGCCCGGUAGCUAAAUGCGGAAGAGAUAAGUGCUGAAAGCAUCUAAGCACGAAACUUGCCCCGAGAUGAGUUCUCCCUGAGACUUUAAGUCUCCUGAAGGAACGUUGAAGACGACGACGUUGAUAGGCCGGGUGUGUAAGCGCAGCGAUGCGUUGAGCUAACCGGUACUAAUGAACCGUGAGGCUUAACCUUACAACGCCGAAG